UACGUAGGGUGCAAGCGUUGUCCGGAAUUAUUGGGCGUAAAGAGCUCGUAGGCGGUCUGUCGCGUCUGGUGUGAAAAUCCAGGGCUUAACCCUGGACCUGCAUCGGGUACGGGCAGACUAGAGUGUGGCAGGGGAGACUGGAAUUCCUGGUGUAGCGGUGGAAUGCGCAGAUAUCAGGAGGAACACCGGUGGCGAAGGCGGGUCUCUGGGCCAUUACUGACGCUGAGGAGCGAAAGCGUGGGGAGCGAACAGG
Molecule: ribosomal RNA, 253 nt
Filed under: uncultured bacterium
Lineage: Bacteria
Description: partial 16S ribosomal RNA
Rfam family: Bacterial small subunit ribosomal RNA
Source: RNAcentral